This 693-nucleotide long non-coding RNA is filed under the name Rattus norvegicus (Norway rat). RNAcentral's name for it is "long non-coding RNA NONRATT018567". The record is from RNAcentral. Lineage: Eukaryota; Metazoa; Chordata; Mammalia; Rodentia; Muridae.
UCGAGAAAUGAUUCCAGCUGUCCUUCCACUAAUAGAAGAGAAACUCCAACAUUCUAAGGAGAUUAUACGAAGAAAAGCAGUUCUGGCAUUAUACAAAUUUUAUCUCAUUGCCCCUAAUCAAGUACAGCAUAUCCAUACUAAGUUUCGGAAAGCACUCUGUGACAGAGAUGUUGGGGUCAUGGCUGCCUCUUUGCAUAUAUACCUUAGGAUGAUUAAGGAAAAUUCUUCUGGAUAUAAAGACUUGACUGAGAGUUUUGUAACAAUUUUAAAGCAGGUGGUGGGGGGAAAGCUCCCUGUAGAGUUCAGUUACCACAGUGUGCCAGCGCCAUGGUUACAGAUUCAGCUCUUGAGAAUACUGGGACUGCUGGGAAAAGACGAUGAAAGGUAAAGCUUCCCAAGUCACAGAAUGACACAGAGUGACACACCAUGUCAUAGCUUGGCCACCCAGAAGUUCCCAGCACUUACCGCCAAUGUAAAGACACAGGUUACUGGGCAUUCCCAGCUUAUGCAUGUUCUCCCCUGCAAAGUGAACUUGCUUCAUCAUUGGAAGACAGGGUAAGACAGGGUAAGGUCACAAGCUAUCUGCUGUAGUUGGUGAGUAUGUUGUUAUAGCAACCAAAGGGAGCACAUAAUUUAAUGAAGACAGCCGUGUUCCAGAAAAAAAUGGAAGGAAAGUGAGAAUAUACAGAUUAA